GAGUACGGCCGCAAGGUUAAAACUCAAAGGAAUUGACGGGGACCCGCACAAGCGGUGGAUGAUGUGGAUUAAUUCGAUGCAACGCGAAAAACCUUACCUACCCUUGACAUGUCCAGAAGCUCUUAGAGAUUUGAGUGUGCCCGAAAGGGAGCUGGAACACAGGUGCUGCAUGGCUGUCGUCAGCUCGUGUCGUGAGAUGUUGGGUUAAGUCCCGCAACGAGCGCAACCCUUGUCGUUAAUUGCCAUCAUUUAGUUGGGCACUUUAACGAGACUGCCGGUGACAAACCGGAGGAAGGUGGGGAUGACGUCAAGUCCUCAUGGCCCUUAUGGGUAGGGCUUCACACGUCAUACAAUGGUCGGUACAGAGGGUUGCCAAGCCGCGAGGUGGAGCCAAUCCCAGAAAGCCGAUCGUAGUCCGGAUUGCAGGCUGCAACUCGCCUGCAUGAAGUCGGAAUCGCUAGUAAUCGCGGAUCAGCAUGUCGCGGUGAAUACGUUCCCGGGUCUUGUACACACCGCCCGUCACACCAUGGGAGCGGGUUCCGCCAGAAGUAGGUAGCCUAACCGCAAGGAGGGCGCUUACCACGGCGGGGUUCGUGACUGGGGUGAAGUCGUAACAAGGUAGCC
Molecule: ribosomal RNA, 624 nt
Filed under: uncultured bacterium
Lineage: Bacteria
Description: bacterial SSU rRNA
Rfam family: Bacterial small subunit ribosomal RNA
Source: RNAcentral